UUUCUCAAAGAGCUUCUCAUAUGUAUUCGAAGUUCGUGUACUCUAGCUUGGAAGUAACCAUCUCCACUGUGGUCCCAGUGGACAUUUUCAUCUUAACUUUUCCUGUACUUCAACAUCCUUUCAGUUCAAGGAAGUUUUCCAAAUAUGCCAUACUCAAUUUGCUGUCGGAACUUUUUUCUGCUCUCUGGCAUAUCUUUAAUAUAUCCCCCUUCUUCUCUUGAUUUAUUUAGAUACCUCAAGCUUCAGCUUAUGACCCACAUUCAUGAAGCAUUUCUGAUUGUGUUGCCAUAUUGCUCAACCCAAGAAGACACCAUUACAUAUUUAUGUUCCAGGGAGGACACUUCUUGUUUACUCUCUGACAUUACCCUUUCUUCCAUUUGGACUUGAAUCUUAUGUAAUAUGUAACUGAUGUCAUUCUGGGGAUUCAUCAUUUCAAUGCCUGAGUUGUAUCAUGUCCUGAAUAUAAUCUUCCCUUCCCUGUCUAUUCUUGCAUUCCUAUCUAAUCCUUCUCUUCUUCAGCUUGUCAAUCUUCUCCCUGGCUUCACAGUAUUAGCAUAUAUUUAUUUAACACUUGCUGUGUCUUGGAAUGUUUACAAUAACAGAUGUCCAGUAUUGGACAAAUCAGAUUUGAUCUUUGCUUUAGUGCAAAAUAAAGUCACCCUUCACAUCACUGUAUGUUAAUUAGUACAUGGAACUUAUAGGAAUAAGCUCUUCAGGACAAAAAUCCCAGAUGCUAGUGUGGGCUGACAGGGUCAUGAAAUUACGGGUAGACACAGCCAUUUAUUUCAGGAACAUCUUUCGGAAUCACCUCUGAGUCAUUCAUACUGUUCCCCAUAGGGAGGGGUAGCAGAUCUCACCUCUGCCAAAAUACCUUCAUUUUUUUGUUGUUAUUGUUGCCUCCUAGAUACUCUAUUUGUGCAGAAUGUGAAGUAUAGUCAGUCUAUAGUCAUUACAUCCACCUCAUGAGUACAUGUACUCUUCUCAAUACAUGCCUGCAAUGUGCAGGUGUAUGAAACUGGUGUAUUUUUACUUUAUUUUUCUUGUAUUACAUAUGGAUGUGUAAGAUUCUCAAAGGUAAGAAGCAGAACUUCUCUUGGGUUUAUAAAACACAUUCUGAAGGGAGUCAGCAAUCCAGCUGGUGACAACAGCCUCCACUUAAAUAUCCAAAGAUAUA
RNAcentral lists this long non-coding RNA (1174 nucleotides) under Marmota monax (woodchuck). The record is from RNAcentral. Lineage: Eukaryota; Metazoa; Chordata; Mammalia; Rodentia; Sciuridae.